Molecule: small nuclear RNA, 106 nt
Organism: Microtus oregoni (creeping vole)
Lineage: Eukaryota; Metazoa; Chordata; Mammalia; Rodentia; Cricetidae
Source: RefSeq, a predicted model, not a curated record
GUAAUUACUUUGGAACACACAUACUAAAACAAGAAGAAUAUAGAGAAGAUUGGUGUGACCCUUGUGCAAAGAUAAUACAAAAAUUUGUGUAACAUUCCAUAUAUAC